UUUUUGUCAUUGAAAAGGAAAAAUUUUGUUUCAUUUCACAAAAGUAAUGAAUUCAUUUCAUAAAGAGUUAUUUAGUUGAACUUCUCUAAGUAAAUGGAAGAGAAUACAAAGUAAAUACUGAAUCUUUCCCAGGUACGUCAUAGCGUCUUCAGCGUAUUCGUGCAUGUGGCGUGGGCUUCCGAUAUAAGAUGAUGGGAGAAUUGUCAGACGUCCAAUAUUUUGAA
This is a long non-coding RNA of Drosophila busckii, 224 nucleotides long. RefSeq lists it as uncharacterized. The record is from RefSeq and is a predicted model, not a curated record. The transcript is spliced from 2 exons. Lineage: Eukaryota; Metazoa; Arthropoda; Insecta; Diptera; Drosophilidae.